GAUGAACGCUGGCGGCGUGCUUAACACAUGCAAGUCGAACGGAAAGGCCACAGCUUGCUGUGGUACUCGAGUGGCGAACGGGUGAGUAACACGUGGGUGAUCUGCCCUGUACUUCGGGAUAAGCUUGGGAAACUGGGUCUAAUACCGGAUAGGAAUCACAUGUGGGUGUGUGGUUGGAAAGCUUUUGCGGUAUGGGGUGAGCUCGCGGCCUAUCAGCUUGUUGGUGGGGUAAUGGCCUACCAAGGCGUCGACGGGUAGCCGGCCUGAGAGGGUGUACGGCCACAUUGGGACUGAGAUACGGCCCAGACUCCUACGGGAGGCAGCAGUGGGGAAUAUUGCACAAUGGGCGCAAGCCUGAUGCAGCGACGCCGCGUGGGGGAUGACGGCCUUCGGGUUGUAAACUCCUUUCGUCAGGGACGAAGCGAAAGUGACGGUACCUGGAUAAGAAGCACCGGCUAACUACGUG
Molecule: ribosomal RNA, 466 nt
Filed under: uncultured bacterium
Lineage: Bacteria
Description: partial 16S ribosomal RNA
Rfam family: Bacterial small subunit ribosomal RNA
Source: RNAcentral